GAUCAUGGCUCGGGAUGAACGUUAGCUACAGGCUUAACACAUGCAAGUCGAGGGGAAACGACAUCGAAAGCUUGCUUUUGAUGGGCGUCGACCGGCGCACGGGUGAGUAACGCGUAUCCAACCUGCCCAUCACUUGGGAAUAACCUUGCGAAAGUAAGACUAAUGCCCAAUGAUAUCCCACGAAGGCAUCCGAAUGGGAUUAAAGAUUUAUCGGUGAUGGAUGGGGAUGCGUCUGAUUAG
RNAcentral lists this ribosomal RNA (240 nucleotides) under uncultured bacterium. RNAcentral's name for it is "partial 16S ribosomal RNA". It matches the Rfam family "Bacterial small subunit ribosomal RNA", at positions 15 to 244 of the family's 1533-position model. The record is from RNAcentral.